This 314-nucleotide unclassified non-coding RNA is filed under the name uncultured fungus. Its description in RNAcentral is "partial contains small subunit ribosomal RNA, internal transcribed spacer 1, and 5.8S ribosomal RNA". The stretch from base 1 to 73 matches the Rfam family "Eukaryotic small subunit ribosomal RNA", at positions 1759 to 1831 of the family's 1831-position model. The record is from RNAcentral. Lineage: Eukaryota; Fungi.
UCAAACUUGGUCAUUUAGAGGAAGUAAAAGUCGUAACAAGGUCUCCGUUGGUGAACCAGCGGAGGGAUCAUUAUAGAGUUAUCAAAACUCCCAACCCAUGUGAACUUACCAAUGUUGCCUCGGCGGGACCUACCCGGUACCUACCCUGGAAUGGCCUACCCUGUAGCGCCUACCCGGGAACGGCCUACCCUGUAGCGGACCGCCGGUGGAUUUUUAAACUCUUGUUUUUUUUAGUGUUCUGAGCGUCUUAUUUUAAAUAAGUCAAAACUUUCAACAACGGAUCUCUUGGUUCUGGCAUCGAUGAAGAACGCAGC